CUGUGUAGUGUGCCGCGGUGUCACUUCAACAACAAGUGGCGUGGGGUUAGACACUGGUGGUGCGGUGCGGUACUAGUGGUGGUGGCCGAUCGACGACUAGCUCGAGGGGCGGGGAUCUAAGGGUCGCGGAGGAGGGGUAAGGAGAGAGAGAGAUCGGAGAAGAACACCACAAACACGCCGCGUGCGUACGGCGACGACGGCGCGUGUGCCGGGGUUGUCACUCUCCCCCCCGACCCGUCCCCUCCCUGCGGCGGACGCUGACGUUUCGACAGUAGAAGACGGGGGCCCGGAGCGGAGCGGGGAUUAUUGUCACCUCUAAGGGCGGAGGGGCGGGGGUUAAUACCUAUGGGCGCGCCCCUCCUCUUCUUCUAUCCUCCCCUCCUGCUCCGCGCUCCGGCGCCGGUAACGAGGCCGAGGUCCCGGUAUCGAAGAGGACAGGUAGUGUAGACAGUUGACAAGCCGUGUUACUCCGGAAGUCUACUGUCCUACGUCGAGAGUCCAAACUGCGUCAGCCUUCUCAGUAGCGAACUGCACCUCCCCGUAACGAGAGUGGUGCUCCGUAAAGGAACAAGAGGUAGCUACGUUGGUCAACGAAGACCCACGCACGUGUGUCUUUUAUCGCGCCGUAUGAAGAAUACCGGCUGAAGUUUGGACGUCGUAACACGCCGCCUCCCUGCCCGUUUGAUGAAACCCUUGGAGGUCUUUCCUAACGACGGCUAUGAGGGACCUUUCAACGGGUUCCCAGUCGUUCGUUUAUCGAACGAGCUGAACUACUGGUAUUCUCGAAAGGUGUCGUUCUAUAACUUCGCAAAGUCAGAGCCUUGGCGUCACCCGAAGGCGUAUUGUUUUCCCCAAGAGUGUCUUUGGGGGCGGUAAGAACAGAAGCAACGAGCUUUCCAAGUGUUCUUUACCGAAUUAGGCUUGGUUACGGAAGGACGCUAAGAACGCCCAGGUCCUCCACAAACCACACUACAGCUACAGCAUCUUAAAAGUAUGAUACCACGUGGCCGAGUUUGUGGAUUUCUUGUCUACAAAUCACUCGAACAAUUAUUCGACACACCGUCACUGCUUAUAUAACCAAGUCCGAGAGUCCAACGUUCGGUCCUAUGCAAACCUUGAAACCCACGUUAACACUUUGCUGCGUGGUUGUUGUUCGUUCAACCAAAGGAGUGCUUGGCUGUACAACGUCAACUAAACCUGAUAGGAUUGGUCUUCUACAAAGUGGGCAACGGCGGCUUAGAACCCGGACCACAAAUAGAACCCCGACAGCUCUCCCGUUGUAGAAAGUAGUGUCUACUACAAACCAUACCUUAAAUACGACCUUGUUUGGGUCUCUGUAAACAUGCUCGACUGCCACGUAAGUAGGGUAAACGACUACUGAAACUGUAAAGGUGUCAGUGUUGAUAUCAAUCCCUUCAGCCACUCUAACCCCUACAAUUCUAAUAUCUAGACGUCACAGGAUAGUUCUCGGAGUAGCCCUCCGUUCAAACGUUUCAGCCGUCUUCGAGACCAGUGUGUUGACCCUGACACUACCGUAUACGGGAACUCAUGUUACUACUCUUUCCUUAUACGAAGAAGUGACUGGAGGAGCAGCAACCACUCUUGGCGGUUUGUAAACUAAACCUCCCACUGUCGCCUUCGGAAUAAUAGGACUGGUCGGUCCUACCCCUCUUCGGUGCAGGAUAACCCUAUUAUACCCCACCGUGUCGUUUGGCACCCUCCUAUUUCGAGUGUUCACUCAUACCGGGACUUUUGACCUGGUGUCCCCAACUAGAACCGGCGGAAGAACUAGCAGAUCUUGAACUAGAAUAUUAUUUGCUGCUUAGCGAGUUUCUACGACACGUCCUCGUUUCUUUUCGGAAACACCGACGUUAAUUGAGACGAUAACCCCUCAGGAGACGCCACUGACAAUGACGGGGUCUUCGGUGGGGCCGUCUCUUCCAACUUCUCUAGAAACUCGGAGAACCCUAGGUUUAAGUCGUCGACGGAGCAGUACUGGACCGUUCGCGGUGUUGGCUUCCCCUCCCGCGUCGGUUGUGUGGGAGGCUGUACCUUCUCGCAGUCAAGUAGAGCUUGAAGCAACCGUACAGAGGGCACGCGGCACUGGUGCUACGAGCCUCCUCGUAGCGGUUGGACUUGUUGGGCAGUCUCCUUCUCGAGCGGUACAGCGACGUGGAUCCGCUGGCCCUCGGGUUCGCCGAGGCAGACCUGGGCCUCAGGUCGGACCUGGAACUUUUUGUCGGAGUAGGCCUGGGCCUUGGCUCGGACCUGGACCUCCUCGCUGGAGCAGGUCUGGGUCUUUACUACUCGGAUCUGGACCUCUUCGUCGGAGCAGGCCUGGGCCUUGGCCCGGACCUGGACCUCUUCGUCGGAGCGAGCCUGGGCCUUGGCCCGGACCUGGACCUCUUCGCGGAAGGUCGGCUGGGCCUCGGCUCGUAUCUGGACCUCUUUACUUCGCGACUAGGCUUACUGUAAAGACCCUACUCGGACGGGACACCUGCUAGUUUCGCUCAUCUACCUUCUUGGGGACGCCAAGUCGUUUGACUUGGACGUUACAAUCAAAUACAAUUGACGAUGAUAACCGAAGCGUCCUUCGUAUAGCAUAGUACAGUACAUGAUGAUACCGUGAACUAAGUCGGGAACAUCCUACAACAACCCACCAUAUCGGGACGUCAAAACGACACGAGUAUUCUAAACUAUAUGUCUUACGACUUAGACUUAGAGAAAAGAACCUCUUCUGUUACACGGCCCUGUCUACUCUGAGACCAAGUGGGGAACAUCCUACAACGAUCUACUAACUAGAAAGAUAACACGAUUA
This 2818-nucleotide ribosomal RNA is filed under the name Triticum aestivum (bread wheat). Its description in RNAcentral is "partial small subunit ribosomal RNA". Lineage: Eukaryota; Viridiplantae; Streptophyta; Magnoliopsida; Poales; Poaceae. The record is from RNAcentral.